AAAAAUUUAGUUAAAUUUAUAACAUUAGUUUGUCAAACUAAAAUUAUUUAAAAAAUAAUUUUUA
RNAcentral lists this transfer RNA (64 nucleotides) under Galerucinae sp. 846596. RNAcentral's name for it is "tRNA-Asp". Lineage: Eukaryota; Metazoa; Arthropoda; Insecta; Coleoptera; Chrysomelidae. The record is from RNAcentral.